RNAcentral lists this ribosomal RNA (488 nucleotides) under uncultured bacterium. RNAcentral describes it as "bacterial SSU rRNA". It matches the Rfam family "Bacterial small subunit ribosomal RNA", at positions 28 to 507 of the family's 1533-position model. The record is from RNAcentral.
GACGAACGCUGGCGGCGUGGAUUAGGCAUGCAAGUCGAACGGUAGGAUACCUUCGGGUAUCCGAGAGUGGCGAACGGGUGAGUAACACGUAGGUGAUCUACCCUCAAGAUUGGGACAACCCAGGGAAACUUGGGCUAAUACCGGAUGAAAGCAGCAGUGAUGUUGUUUGAAAGGUGGCGUAAGCUGCCGUUUGGGGAUGAGCCUGCGCUCUAUUAGUUAGUUGGUGAGGUAACGGCUUACCAAGGCGAUGAUAGAUAGGCGGCCUUAACGGGUGGUCGCCCACACUGGGAUUGAGAUACGGCCCAGACUCCUACGGGAGGCAGCAGUCGAGAAUAGUCUACAAUGGUCGGAAGACUGAUAGUGCGACGCCGCGUGAACGAUGAAUCCCUUCGGGGUGUAAAGUUCUUUUAUAUGUGAGCAGUGCUUCUUAUAUUAACAGUAUGGGGAGAGAGAUAUUAGCAUAUGAAUAAGCAACGGCUAACUCCGUG